GGUAGCUUGUAAAGAAAACAAAGAAAGUUGUUGCUGAGUAGCGGUAAAUCGUCACCCAGGAUCUCAACUAGUACUAUUCUUCUACUUCCAAAGAUGACAAAGUAAAUCGUUUCUGAGCUAGGGAUCGUCGCACAACAAAUCAAUGGGCUUCUUAUCAUCGUGAAUCGAAUGGAUUCCUGAGCUCUGACGAACGAUAGCUGCUACCUGCAAUAGUACGUUUGGUUGACGCGCGGCACUGCGGUAGGCACGAAUAAGAAAGGGGAAUCCUUAAAGGCGGUUCCCACGUAAUCACGCCGAUACUUCGGACCGUGAAACAAUUGAUCGUUGCAGGAUUGUUUUUGCGUCGGCGGAAUGUUUAGGUGGGCGAGGGGAAUCGAUACGCCACACCGUGAUUACUAAUGGGCCUAUGGGGUCUCAUAGUGGCGGUGCCCACUUAGACAAAGCAUCCGUGCAUAAUUCGGAUAAUCGAAUGAAUGGGAUGGAAGCUGCGCAUUUGAUCCUGGCUACUGAAUACGGAUCGGAUAUCGGGCCACAGGGAUCAAUGGAAUGCACGGUGCGUGUUCAGUGCUAAUUGCCCGCGUGCGUUCGCGUUUUUAUCCCGCUGACGCAGUAGUAGCACAUCAAUCAGUGCCGACUAAUCUCGCAAUAAGAAAACGAGAUGAUCUCAUGCGUGGGUUAUGUGCAAAUAUCAUCUGGCAUAAACAAUUCUUGAAAGCAAAAACAGAUAGAAAAAAAAUGCAAAAAUUUUGCAGACACGCUAAUGGUAUGAAAUGUACAUUAUUAAAUAUCAAGAAAAUUAUCAUAAAGUAUAAAAGAUUAAUUAAAUGAAUCUCCGCACUGUUUAUGACGGUCUAGUGGUAGAGGAGAUAAGAGGGAAGGAAAGAAGAGAAAAAAAAGGAAAAGAAAAAGAGAACAUGAAUAAAAAAACUGAAUCACUGAUCGCAGACAGGAAGUCGCGAUAACUGAACGAUCCUUGCAACUUUAUAACAUUUGACGAACCGGAAAUGCAAUAUGGGCGCACGCCGCCGCGUGUCCACGUUCCGUAAAACGGCAGCCGACGUUUCGCCGUGACAGAAGGAAUGAAUAAAAGAUGGCACGGUCGGCUUAGUCAUUAACGGCUACGUUAGGAAGACGCGUAGGAAUCCACCAGUGGGAAGGAGCAACGUGUUACGGUCGACGAAGAGAUCUGCAUGCACCUUAAGAAAAUUAAUAACGAGCGAUGUAUGCAGAAGCGGCCCCCUGAAAAGUGUGGAAGCGGAGUGGAAAAAGAGAAAUGGGAAAAAAAGAAUAUAUACGUCGCAGGACCAGUGGAAGAAAAUGAACGAACCCUGUAUAAACUCUCUUACGGGAAACGGGGCC
Molecule: long non-coding RNA, 1359 nt
Organism: Cephus cinctus (wheat stem sawfly)
Lineage: Eukaryota; Metazoa; Arthropoda; Insecta; Hymenoptera; Cephidae
Exons: 3
Source: RefSeq, a predicted model, not a curated record